Molecule: long non-coding RNA, 2396 nt
Organism: Magnolia sinica
Lineage: Eukaryota; Viridiplantae; Streptophyta; Magnoliopsida; Magnoliales; Magnoliaceae
Exons: 2
Source: RefSeq, a predicted model, not a curated record
UGAAUUCCAAUCAUUAAAGACAUCAUGGGGCCACCGGAAUGUUUAUUUGUCAUCCAACCUGUUCAGAAGGUCACAAGGACAUGGAUGAAGAGACUACACAAAUAUUAGAUUCAUCCAAAACUUUUGUUGCCACAAGAGGUUUUUAAUGGUCGAUUACCACUGUUUCCUAUAUUAUGGUCCACCUGAUAUUUGGAUCUGCUUAAUUCAUUUUUGAAAUCAUCACCUAAAAUGAGUUUUCAAAAUGUAUGAACGGCGUUUAUGAAAGUACAUAAUCACGGUGGGCCUCAUAGUCAGGGUCGAGUCAAGCUAUGCUCCACUGAAUCUGACACUUUAAGGUUCAAGGAUUGAGCCGGCCCAAGCCAAGCAUGCAUCUUGCAAAGGAGGCCCAAGUCCAACUCGAGAGAGUUAGGUCGGCCCAGGCCCAGUCCAAUCAAGCAUGCAUUUUGGCACAAAAUGCCCAAGCCCAACUCGAGAAGUAUGCUUGGCCGAGGUCCAGACCAACCCAACCCCACUAGCCUAGCCCGAUUGACAAAAUGCCUACUUCCCACCUGAUUGUUUGUAAUUUAGAUGUUGAUCAAGUAGACCACACUUAGAGGAACAAAAUCCACUCCAUCCAUCUUUAGAACAUAAGACAAAAAAUAGGAGGAUCCGGAACUCAAGUUAGCCACAUGAGAGAAACUUGAGACAUUCGUAGGGUCAUAAGAGUUUCAUAUUAGGAAUUUGUUUUUUGUGUUUUCAGUUCAUUCCAAUGGGCAUGACUUUAUGAAUGGUUUGGAUAGUAUAUAAAUAUCAAGGUGGACCUUGUAAGAUUUCAGCAUUGGAAUUUCUUUACCUAUUGUUUCCUCUCGUGUGGCUCCCUUGAGUUCUAGAUCCUUCUCAUUUUUGGUCUCCUGUCCUAAAAUGAGCUCAAAAGAUGGAUGGACAGGGUGGAUUUCUAACAAACAUCACAAUGGGCCUCACCUAGCUUCUGAGCACAUAAACCUACCACAGGCUUUGGUAAGAAAUAUAUUUUCAGCCGAGCUCACUCUAUGUUGUCAGAUAUCUUAAAUUCAUCUAUAAUAGGGUUUGUCGAUGUUAUCGACAGUCCACUCAAUUGCAUCAAGCAGCUGUCGAUAGCAUCGACAGCUCACUCGAUCACAUCGAAAAAAUUUGAAAAAAUUCUAGUUGAUUGCUAGACAGUUUUGGAGAUGGCACUCAAUGUCAUCCACGGGUAUUGGAUGUACGUCAAUGCUAUGGAACGUCCCUUUUCUUUUCUAGCAAGGUAAUCUUAAUAACCAGCAAUCAUGAUCUCUAAUACAUAAUUACUAUUUAGUAAAAUGCAAUGAACUCAGUUUUAAGUGGCACCCAAACAGGUAGGGCUGUCUAAGGGUUGGGUCUUGUAGUACCUGCACCUGGGCUUACCAGUCUAGGUUCUUGCCAGGUUUGGGUCCUUUUAUGUCUGGUGUGGUUCUUAAAAACCUGGAUCUGAUCGGAUUCGGGUACCCAUUGAGUUUUUGGAUCUAAAUUUGGAGUUGGCUAUGGGACAAUUAAGAGCAUUUACAUGAUUGGGCCUACUUGCUGGAUGGAUUAGAUCUCACACAAGCAUGCCGCUUUGGUGGAUGCAUGAUGUGUAAACAGUCUCUCUUACACGUGUGUGCGGCAUAGGGAACCUCAUUUUUUACUAGAAUAAUCAAUACAUGUUAAAAUUAAGUAGUUUUAUCAUUAAAACUGCCUGCACCCAACCCAAAACCUGACUAGACCGAUUUUUAAUCGGAUCCAAAAAGUGAGACCCAAACCCGGCCUGACCCAUUAAAAUCGGGCCGGGUUGAUUGGGUACCCACAUUUAAAAUGUCUUCUUGUGACUGUGUUCAUUGAAAACGAAAAUAACGUAUGGUUGGAACUUUCUUUCAGGCAAUUUCAUUGUCAGGGGUUCGCUUUCUGGAGCUGAUUGGAGAGGAUGAAAUGGCAUUCGAUAACCUCUACUGUGUGGCAUUUCAGAUGAUGGAUGCUCGAUGGCUUGCGAAGCGUGCUUCUUAUAUGGAAUUAAAUGAGGUUUUGAAAUCAACUCGAACGCAGCUGGAGCAUGAGCUAGCAUGGGAAGACGUCUCCAGCAUUAAGGAUUUGCCGGCUUGCAAUCUUUUGAACCAAUAGCUGGGCUGCAUUGGUCUUAUGCAUUUUCUUAGCUUCUUGAUUUCUGUAGUUCUCUGUAUACGUACAGUAUAGAAAUUCUCCAUCCAAACAUGUAAAUUCAAGUGCUCAAAAUUCUAUUUCUGAGAAAUCCAAUUCACAGGUAUAAGAAAUAGUCUGAAGAGUAAAUACUAUUAAAGUGUGUUGUUAAUUAAAUGUUGUGAUUGAUCGAGAGUGGAAAGGUUUUGUUCAGCCCAGAAAAGAUACAGGCGGGGUCUGCUUUUCAGCAA